CUACGGAGGGUCCAAGCGUUAUCCGGAUUCAUUGGGUUUAAAGGGUCCGCAGGCGGGAAAAUAAGUCAGUGGUGAAAGCCUACAGCUCAACUGUAGAACUGCCAUUGAUACUGUUUUUCUUGAGUAUAGAUGAAGUGGGCGGAAUAUAUCAUGUAGCGGUGAAAUGCAUAGAUAUGAUAUAGAACACCGAUUGCGAAGGCAGCUCACUAAACUAUUACUGACGCUCAGGGACGAAAGCGUGGGGAGCGAACAGGAGUAGAUACCCUUGUAGUCC
Molecule: ribosomal RNA, 274 nt
Filed under: uncultured bacterium
Lineage: Bacteria
Description: partial 16S ribosomal RNA
Rfam family: Bacterial small subunit ribosomal RNA
Source: RNAcentral